GUUGAAGUGUGAUGAUCAUACGUCUGUAAUGCAUUGUAUGUCCCAUAAUAGGUCCCAUCCUUCUACUCUUUCCCAGAAGUUGAUGACUAUUCAUAGCUAUUAUCUUGACACCAAAUAAGAGUUUGACCCAAUGCUUUAUUUCUGUCCUAGUUGAUCCUGAUUCGACAUUAGAAGUAUAUUGAUUUUUCCCCAAUAACCGAAUACUUUUGUCUGUAAAUACCCUAGUUGAUCCUGAUUCGACAUUAGAAGUAUAUUGAUUUUUCCCCAAUAACCGAAUACUUUUGUCAGUAAAUACUGCAUAUUUGAUUCCAUCCAUAAAUCGAUUUUCUUCACUAUGAGUUAUAGUCUCAAUU
Molecule: long non-coding RNA, 353 nt
Filed under: Nicotiana benthamiana
Lineage: Eukaryota; Viridiplantae; Streptophyta; Magnoliopsida; Solanales; Solanaceae
Description: long non-coding RNA (NBEN_LNC007793)
Source: RNAcentral